RNAcentral lists this ribosomal RNA (273 nucleotides) under Escherichia coli. RNAcentral's name for it is "partial 16S ribosomal RNA". It matches the Rfam family "Bacterial small subunit ribosomal RNA", at positions 1 to 270 of the family's 1533-position model. The record is from RNAcentral. Lineage: Bacteria; Pseudomonadati; Pseudomonadota; Gammaproteobacteria; Enterobacterales; Enterobacteriaceae.
AAAUUGAAGAGUUUGAUCAUGGCUCAGAUUGAACGCUGGCGGCAGGCCUAACACAUGCAAGUCGAACGGUAACAGGAAGAAGCUUGCUUCUUUGCUGACGAGUGGCGGACGGGUGAGUAAUGUCUGGGAAACUGCCUGGUGGAGGGGGAUAACUACUGGAAACGGUAGCUAAUACCGCAUAACGUCGCAAGACCAAAGAGGGGGACCUUCGGGCCUCUUGCCAUCGGAUGUGCCCAGAUGGGAUUAGCUUGUUGGUGGGGUAACGGCUCACCA